Perognathus longimembris pacificus (Pacific pocket mouse) is the source of this 136-nucleotide small nucleolar RNA. The record is from RefSeq and is a predicted model, not a curated record. Lineage: Eukaryota; Metazoa; Chordata; Mammalia; Rodentia; Heteromyidae.
CCUCUUUUAAAAGCACUCUGUGGGCCUUUUGCUAAUAACCCAUAAGCUGUCAAGAAAGAGCAUUAGAAAUACUGGUUUUGGAUGAAGUAGUUGUGGCCUGUUGUGUGGUUUUGCUUCAGUCAGUGGUCUGGCAAGG